GAUGAACGCUGGCGGCGUGCCUAAUACAUGCAAGUCGAGCGAACAGACGAGGAGCUUGCUCCUUUGACGUUAGCGGCGGACGGGUGAGUAACACGUAGAUAACCUACCUAUAAGACUGGGAUAACUUCGGGAAACCGGAGCUAAUACCGGAUAAUAUUUCGAACCGCAUGGUUCGAUAGUGAAAGAUGGCUUUGCUAUCACUUAUAGAUGGACCUGCGCCGUAUUAGCUAGUUGGUAAGGUAACGGCUUACCAAGGCAACGAUGCGUAGCCGACCUGAGAGGGAGAGCGGCCACACUGGAACUGAGACACGGUCCAGACUCCUACGGGAGGCAGCAGUAGGGAAUCUUCCGCAAUGGGCGAAAGCCUGACGGAGCCACGCCGCGUGAGUGAUGAAGGUCUUCGGAUCGUAAAACUCUGUUAUUAGGGAAGAACAAACGUGUAAGUAACUGUGAACUUCUUGACGGUACCUAAUCAGAAAGCCACGGCUAACUACGUG
This 497-nucleotide ribosomal RNA is filed under the name uncultured bacterium. Its description in RNAcentral is "partial 16S ribosomal RNA". It matches the Rfam family "Bacterial small subunit ribosomal RNA", at positions 28 to 507 of the family's 1533-position model. The record is from RNAcentral.